ACCAUAGGAGUUGACAAGACAGCCCAAACAGAUCUGGGACCAGGCUAGGUAAUGACCAUAGGAGUUGACAAGACAGCCCAAACAGAUCGGGGACCAGGCUAGGUAAUGACCAUAGGAGUUGACAAGACAGCCCAAACAGAUCUGGGACCAGGCUAGGUAAUGACCAUAGGAGUUGACAAGACAGCCCAAACAGAUCGGGGACCAGGCUAGUGUUGCUUUGGAAACGCUGUGAUCAUAUUAACUGUGAAGUUAGCCCAUUGUUACGUCCUUAUGUCUGUUUUUACUUGAAGCAAGGAUACAUCCUAUGGGCCCUGUUUAAACAGUGCACUAUAAAGGGAAUGGCUCCCUACGGGCCCUGUUUAAACAGUGCACUAUAAAGGGAAUGGCUCCCUACGGGCCCUGUUUAAACAGUGCACUAUAAAGGGAAUGGCUCCCUAUGGGCCCUGUUUAAACAGUGCACUAUAAAGGGAAUGGCUCCCUACGGGCCCUGUUUAAACAGUGCACUAUAAAGGGAAUGGCUCCCUGCGGGCCCUGUUUAAACAGUGCACUAUAAAGGGAAUGGCUCCCCGCGGGCCCUGUUUAAACAGUGCACUAUAAAGGGAAUGGCUCCCUACGGGCCCUGUUUAAACAUAAAGGGAAUGGCUCCCUACGGGCCCUGUUUAAACAGUGCACUAUAAAGGGAAUGGCUCCCUAUGGGCCCUGUUUAAACAGUGCACUAUAAAGGGAAUGGCUCCCUACGGGCCCUGUUUAAACAUAAAGGGAAUGGCUCCCAACGGGCCCUGUUUAAACAUAAAGGGAAUGGCUCCCUACGGGCCCUGUUUAAACAGUGCACUAUAAAGGGAAUGGCUCCCUAUGGGCCCUGUUUAAACAGUGCACUAUAAAGGGAAUGGCUCCCUACGGGCCCUGUUUAAACAGUGCACUAUAAAGGGAAUGGCUCCCUACGGGCCCUGUUUAAACAGUGCACUAUAAAGGGAAUGGCUCCCUACGGGCCCUGUUUAAACAGUUCACUAUAAAUGGAAGCGGGUGCCAUUUGAAAUGGAACCCAAGACGACGUGUAAAGUUGAAGCAUGAUCUGAUUAGUGUGAACUAAGUAUAUAGCUUUUUGUGAUUGUAUUUCCUCAUUAGAAGUGCAUUUGUUUUUCCCCCAUCUCGAAGAAUGUGACGUUUUCAGUGGCAUUAAGUUUGUUAUAAAUGGAACAAAUAUACAAGGACCAUGAACUUUACACAUCUUAUUAAGUGAAUUACUAUAUGCAGUAAUAAAAAAAUAAAAGUAGUUUUAAAGGAAAUGUUGGAUCAUAGUUCGAAGCACCAUGUCCAGUGAAGAGAUGUUCUGUGUGUAUAGAAGACGGGUGUAUUCAUUCCGCUGAUUCUGUUGCAAAACGUUUUCGACCUGCCUGAAUUUGUCCAUUAGAAACUGUUUGUUUUUCCCCCGUCCAUUUCAAUUCAGGCAGUAAAAUGAAAUAGCAAAUUUUCCUUCAUUAAAAAAAAAGAAGGGAUAAUUGAAAUGUCAAUCCCAAACCUGGCAGAAUUACAGCCAUGUCUUUGUGUGUAGCGAUAUUUAAAAAGGAAAGAUUCACUCAUUUUUGAAUGUCAUUGUUCUUGUGCAUCUCUGAACGAUGUUCGUAUCGGAGUUAUUGAAACAGGAGAAAACGGCUGGUAUGACAAGUUGAGUCAGAACAUCGCUCAGAUGCAAAAAAAAAAAAGUCAAUGGGUGAAUCUUUCCUUGAAGUUUGUUUUAUAUGGGACAAACAUACAAGGACAGUGAAUUAUUACUACCUACAUUAGUCCCUGAGUGUAACUAUUGUUCUUAUGCAGUGGUUUCAGAAUUGCCUUAAGUCUUUUGAAAUAAACAUGGACUUUGUUCACUCAAUGUGA
Long non-coding RNA from Oncorhynchus gorbuscha (pink salmon), 1875 nucleotides. RefSeq lists it as uncharacterized. The record is from RefSeq and is a predicted model, not a curated record. Lineage: Eukaryota; Metazoa; Chordata; Actinopteri; Salmoniformes; Salmonidae. The transcript is spliced from 2 exons.